CACAUGUGCCAAUGGUAGCUCAAACUUGGCUAAGGACAGCCCAAGGGGGCAGUUAGAUGUUUCUGAUUUGUCAUUAGCUAGCACUGCCUGUAUAGUGUGGGUGUGCACAUUCUUGGGUGCUAGACCAAGCAAGAUGGAGAAAAUUUAAAAAUCACAAUAGCAGAUCAGAAAUAAGACAGAAUCUGGACGCUGUCUAUGUCAGGGGCUUAUCAGAGGAGUGUCAGAGAUUGUACCAGACAACACUGUGCCAUGUUCUAAACAUAGUGAUGAAUGAUUGUCAAUGGGCAGCCUGAGGGAUGGACCAUUUUUAAAAAAAGAAGGGAGACUUCUCUGUUGCCUUUUCUUGAGGAAUCCAUUCCUAUCUCCAAGGAGCUACAAUCAAAGAUGUGUCUGGGAAGGGACCAUAGGAUUAUCUCAAGAUUUUAAGCUUGGGCAUCAUGCAGUCCAGUUCCAUCACCUUACAAGGGAAGAAACAGAGGAAAAGGAAGUAGAAGGGGAAAAAAAACCUAGAAAAAAGGACAUCAACUGGAGAAUGGUGGAACAAAAUAUGGUAUAUGAUGGUGAUAGAAUACUAUUGUGCUGUAAGAAAUGAUGAACAGGAUGAUUUCAGAAAGACUGGAAAGACCUACAGGAACCAAUGCAGAGUGAAAUAAGCAGAACCAGGGGAACAUCGUACACAGGAACUGCAACAUUGUGGAACAAUCAAAUGUGAUAGACUUUGCUACUAGCAGCAAUACAAUCAUCCAGGACCAUUCUGAAGAAGAAUGCUAUCCACCUCUAGAAAAAGAACUGUCGGUGUAGAAAUGCACAUGAAAACAUAUGGUUUAUCACUUGUUUAUUUGGCGAAAUGAUUUGGGGUUUUGGUUUUACAAGAUGAUUCACUUAUAAAAAUGAUUAAUGUGGAAAUAUGUAUUAUAUGAUAACACAUGUAAAACUCAGACUGAAUUGCUUGUCAACUCUGGAAUCAGGGAGGGAAGAAGGAAGGGAGACAACAUGAAUCAUAUAACUUUGGAAACUUAUGUGGAAAUUUGUUAUAAAAAUAAAAUAAAAAUAAGAAACA
RNAcentral lists this long non-coding RNA (1060 nucleotides) under Monodelphis domestica (gray short-tailed opossum). Its description in RNAcentral is "lncRNA (ENSMODG00000049521.1)". Lineage: Eukaryota; Metazoa; Chordata; Mammalia; Didelphimorphia; Didelphidae. The record is from RNAcentral.